This is an RNA transcript of Homo sapiens (human), 583 nucleotides long. It is a transcript of the gene named centrosomal protein 72, with no coding region annotated. The record is from RefSeq and is marked reviewed. Lineage: Eukaryota; Metazoa; Chordata; Mammalia; Primates; Hominidae.
GUCCGAGGGCUCCGUUUGAAACAUGGCGCGGGCUGGCCCUCGGCUGGUGCUGAGCGAGGAGGCGGUUCGGGCGAAGAGCGGCUUAGGGCCUCACCGCGACCUGGGUGCGCCGGAGGGCGGGCGGGGGUGCAAGCGUGAGGUGGCGGGGGGGUGGGUGCCGAGCUUCCCGGGGCGGCGGCGGACCGUGGGCAGGCGGGACCCGUCUACGCAGGCGCCGCGGGCGUCCGGAACGGUCGCGGGCGAGCGGGGCGCGCGUGUCCAGCUGAGCUUCAGUCAUUGUCUAUUCCUGGAACUUACCAAGAGAAGAUCACCCACCUGGGACAUUCUCUGAUGAGUUUAACAGGUCUGAAAUCUUUGGAUCUCUCGCGCAACUCCUUGGUUAGUCUGGAGGGCAUUCAGUACCUGACUGCAUUGGAGAGUCUCAAUCUCUACUACAACUGCAUCUCCUCGUUGGCAGAAGUGUUUCGGCUCCACGCCUUAACCGAGCUCGUGGAUGUGGACUUCCGGCUGAACCCCGUGGUGAAGGUUGAGCCUGACUACCGCCUUUUUGUUGUGCACCUGCUCCCCAAGCUCCAGCAGCUGG